Small nuclear RNA from Perognathus longimembris pacificus (Pacific pocket mouse), 104 nucleotides. The record is from RefSeq and is a predicted model, not a curated record. Lineage: Eukaryota; Metazoa; Chordata; Mammalia; Rodentia; Heteromyidae.
GUGCUCACUUCAGUAACAUAUAUACUAAAGUUGGAAUGAUACAGAGAUUAGCAUGGCCCCUAAGCAAGUAUAACACACAAAUUUGUGAAAUGUUCCAUAUUUAA